AGUGAACGCUGGCGGUAGGCCUAACACAUGCGAGUCGAACGGCAGCACAGUAAGAGCUUGCUCUUACGGGUGGCGAGUGGCGGACGGGUGAGGAAUACAUCGGAAUCUACUUUUUCGUGGGGGAUAACGUAGGGAAACUUACGCUAAUACCGCAUACGACCUACGGGUGAAAGCAGGGGAUCUUCGGACCUUGCGCGAUUGAAUGAGCCGAUGUCGGAUUAGCUAGUUGGCGGGGUAAAGGCCCACCAAGGCGACGAUCCGUAGCCGGUCUGAGAGGAUGAUCCGCCACACUGGAACUGAGACACGGUCCAGACUCCUACGGGAGGCAGCGGUGGGGAAUAUUGGACAAUGGGCGCAAGCCUGAUCCAGCCAUACCGCGUGGGUGAAGAAGGCCUUCGGCUUGUAAAGCCCUUUUGUUGGGAAAGAAGAGCAGCAGGUUAAUACCCCGCUGUUCUGACGGUACCCAAAGAAUAAGCACCGGCUAACUUCGUG
RNAcentral lists this ribosomal RNA (492 nucleotides) under uncultured bacterium. RNAcentral's name for it is "partial 16S ribosomal RNA". It matches the Rfam family "Bacterial small subunit ribosomal RNA", at positions 29 to 507 of the family's 1533-position model. The record is from RNAcentral.